Molecule: transfer RNA, 74 nt
Filed under: Phaeoacremonium minimum UCRPA7
Lineage: Eukaryota; Fungi; Ascomycota; Sordariomycetes; Togniniales; Togniniaceae
Description: tRNA-His (GTG) (tRNA-His-GTG-7-1)
Rfam family: tRNA
About the family: Transfer RNA (tRNA) molecules are approximately 80 nucleotides in length. Their secondary structure includes four short double-helical elements and three loops (D, anti-codon, and T loops).
Source: RNAcentral
UCCUCUGUAGCUCAAUUGGCUAGAGCGUCUGACUGUGAAUCAGGAGGUUCCUGGAUCGUGCCCAGGCAGGGGAG